CCUACGGGUGGCAGCAGUGAGGAAUAUUGGUCAAUGGACGAGAGUCUGAACCAGCCAAGUCGCGUGAAGGAUGAAUGCCCUAUGGGUGGUAAACUUCUUUUAUAUGGGAAUAGACUGUUACACGUGUGGGCUUGUGUAUGUACCAUAUGAAUAAGGGUCGGCUAACUCCGUGCCAGCAGCCGCGGUAAUGCGGAGGGUACGAGCGUUAUCCGGAUUUAUUGGGCUGAAAGGGAGCGUAGGUGGAUAGUUAAGUCAGUUGUGAAAGGUUGCGGCUCAACCGUAGAAUUGCAGUUGAUACUGGCAGUCUAGAGUACAGUAGAGGUGGGUGGAAUUCGUGGUGUAGCGGUGAAAUGCUUAGAGA
This 361-nucleotide ribosomal RNA is filed under the name uncultured bacterium. RNAcentral's name for it is "partial 16S ribosomal RNA". It matches the Rfam family "Bacterial small subunit ribosomal RNA", at positions 338 to 696 of the family's 1533-position model. The record is from RNAcentral.